CCCCGGUAAACGGCGGCCGUAACUAUAACGGUCCUAAGGUAGCGAAAUUCCUUGUCGGGUAAGUUCCGACCUGCACGAAUGGCGUAAUGAUGGCCAGGCUGUCUCCACCCGAGACUCAGUGAAAUUGAACUCGCUGUGAAGAUGCAGUGUACCCGCGGCAAGACGGAAAGACCCCGUGAACCUUUACUAUAGCUUGACACUGAACAUUGAGCCUUGAUGUGUAGGAUAGGUGGGAGGCUUUGAAGUGUGGACGCCAGUCUGCAUGGAGCCGACCUUGAAAUACCACCCUUUAAUGUUUGAUGUUCUAACGUGGACCCGUAAUCCGGGUUGCGGACAGUGUCUGGUGGGUAGUUUGACUGGGGCGGUCUCCUCCUAAAGAGUAACGGAGGAGCACGAAGGUUGGCUAAUCCUGGUCGGACAUCAGGAGGUUAGUGCAAUGGCAUAAGCCAGCUUGACUGCGAGCGUGACGGCGCGAGCAGGUGCGAAAGCAGGUCAUAGUGAUCCGGUGGUUCUGAAUGGAAGGGCCAUCGCUCAACGGAUAAAAGGUACUCCGGGGAUAACAGGCUGAUACCGCCCAAGAGUUCAUAUCGACGGCGGUGUUUGGCACCUCGAUGUCGGCUCAUCACAUCCUGGGGCUGAAGUAGGUCCCAAGGGUAUGGCUGUUCGCCAUUUAAAGUGGUACGCGAGCUGGGUUUAGAACGUCGUGAGACAGUUCGGUCCCUAUCUGCCGUGGGCGCUGGAGAACUGAGGGGGGCUGCUCCUAGUACGAGAGGACCGGAGUGGACGCAUCACUGGUGUUCGAGUUGUCAUGCCAAUGGCACUGCCCGGUAGCUAAAUGCGGAAGAGAUAAGUGCUGAAAGCAUCUAAGCACGAAACUUGCCCCGAGAUGAGUUCUCCCUGAGACUUAGAGUCUCCUGAAGGAACGUUGAAGACGACGACGUUGAUAGGCCGGGUGUGUAAGCGCAGCGAUGCGUUGAGCUAACCGGUACUAAUGAACCGUGAGGCUUAACCUUACAACGCCGAAG
RNAcentral lists this ribosomal RNA (1025 nucleotides) under Salmonella enterica. RNAcentral describes it as "partial 23S ribosomal RNA". It matches the Rfam family "Bacterial large subunit ribosomal RNA", at positions 1918 to 2925 of the family's 2925-position model. Lineage: Bacteria; Pseudomonadati; Pseudomonadota; Gammaproteobacteria; Enterobacterales; Enterobacteriaceae. The record is from RNAcentral.